AGGACGAACGCUGGCGGCGUGUCUAAUACAUGCAAGUCGAACGGUCUUUUCUAUGGAAGCUUGCUUCCACUGAGAAGAUAGUGGCGAACGGGUGAGUAACACGUGGGUAACCUGCCCAUAAGAGGGGGAUAACAUCCGGAAACGGGUGCUAAUACCGCAUAGUUUUCUUGAUCGCAUGAUUGAGAAAGGAAAGACGGCCUUUGUGCUGUCGCUUAUGGAUGGACCCGCGGCGUAUUAGUUAGUUGGUGAGGUAACGGCUCACCAAGACGAUGAUACGUAGCCGACCUGAGAGGGUGAUCGGCCACAUUGGGACUGAGACACGGCCCAAACUCCUACGGGAGGCAGCAGUAGGGAAUCUUCCGCAAUGGACGAAAGUCUGACGGAGCAACGCCGCGUGAGUGAAGAAAGGUUUUCGGAUCGUAAAACUCUGUUGUCAGAGAAGAACAAGUUGGAGAGUAACUGCUCCAGCCUUGACGGUAUCUGACCAGAAAGCCACGGCUAACUACGUGCCAGCCGCGGC
Molecule: ribosomal RNA, 520 nt
Filed under: uncultured bacterium
Lineage: Bacteria
Description: bacterial SSU rRNA
Rfam family: Bacterial small subunit ribosomal RNA
Source: RNAcentral